AUUGAACGCUGGCGGCAUGCUUUACACAUGCAAGUCGAACGGCAGCGCGGGCUUCGGCCUGGCGGCGAGUGGCGAACGGGUGAGUAAUACAUCGGAACGUGCCCAGUAGUGGGGGAUAGCUCGGCGAAAGCCGGAUUAAUACCGCAUACGACCUGAGGGUGAAAGCGGGGGAUCUUCGGACCUCGCGCUAUUGGAGCGGCCGAUGGCAGAUUAGCUAGUUGGUGGGGUAAAGGCCUACCAAGGCGACGAUCUGUAGCUGGUCUGAGAGGACGACCAGCCACACUGGGACUGAGACACGGCCCAGACUCCUACGGGAGGCAGCAGUGGGGAAUUUUGGACAAUGGGCGAAAGCCUGAUCCAGCAAUGCCGCGUGUGUGAUGAAGGCCUUCGGGUUGUAAAGCACUUUUGGCGGGAACGAAAAGGACUGUGCCAAUUU
RNAcentral lists this ribosomal RNA (436 nucleotides) under Lautropia mirabilis. Its description in RNAcentral is "bacterial SSU rRNA". It matches the Rfam family "Bacterial small subunit ribosomal RNA", at positions 30 to 466 of the family's 1533-position model. The record is from RNAcentral. Lineage: Bacteria; Pseudomonadati; Pseudomonadota; Betaproteobacteria; Burkholderiales; Burkholderiaceae.